This 482-nucleotide ribosomal RNA is filed under the name uncultured Flavobacteriaceae bacterium. RNAcentral describes it as "bacterial SSU rRNA". It matches the Rfam family "Bacterial small subunit ribosomal RNA", at positions 28 to 505 of the family's 1533-position model. Lineage: Bacteria; Pseudomonadati; Bacteroidota; Flavobacteriia; Flavobacteriales; Flavobacteriaceae. The record is from RNAcentral.
GAUGAACGCUAGCGGCAGGCUUAACACAUGCAAGUCGAGGGGUAACAGGAGUGCUUGCACUUGCUGACGACCGGCGAACGGGUGCGUAACGCGUAUAGAAUCUGCCUUACACAGGAGGAUAGCCUUUAGAAAUGAAGAUUAAUACUCCAUAGUACUGAAUUUUGGCAUCAUUAUUUAGUUAAAGAUUUAUCGGUGUAAGAUGACUAUGCGUCCUAUUAGCUAGAUGGUAAGGUAACGGCUUACCAUGGCUACGAUAGGUAGGGGGUCUGAGAGGACUAUCCCCCACACUGGUACUGAGACACGGACCAGACUCCUACGGGAGGCAGCAGUGAGGAAUAUUGGACAAUGGAGGCAACUCUGAUCCAGCCAUGCCGCGUGCAGGAAGACUGCCCUAUGGGUUGUAAACUGCUUUUAUACAGGAAGAAACAUAUCUACGUGUAGGUAUUUGACGGUACUGUAAGAAUAAGGACCGGCUAACUCCG